GAAUGGAGAGAGUGCUUGAAGACUUGUGGCUGGUGGGAGGGUUAGAGUUCACAGAAGGCCAAGGUGAGGUGUGCUAUCCAAAACAUAGAUAGGUCUCUACAAGACGGGAAGUUGCUGACUAUUUUCUCUUACAUAUUCCUACCUUCUUUAAAGAUUUUGGUUCCCCUUCGAAUGGUCUCUGUUCUGACCAGGCAUCCUCCUCUGAGUACAUUCCCACUUGACUUGAGCCUGCCUAGGGCUUUUGUGUGGGCAUCUAAUUCAGGAUCAUUGACAGAAUAAUUGAAACAACCUGUACCCAGAACAACUACACCAAAACAAUUUGUUGUUUUUCGUGGGUAUGACCUUAAAGACACCAUAAUCGUCUCUAUCAUGUAUUAUCAUCUUUAUCAUGUAUUAUCUCCAACCACCUUUUAAUCUUACUUGGUUUACCAAGAUGAUUAGUUGGCUUGAAAUAGCUAUUCCUAACAAUAAAAUAUUACACUGAAUUCUG
Molecule: long non-coding RNA, 490 nt
Organism: Gorilla gorilla gorilla (western lowland gorilla)
Lineage: Eukaryota; Metazoa; Chordata; Mammalia; Primates; Hominidae
Exons: 2
Source: RefSeq, a predicted model, not a curated record